Molecule: non-coding RNA, 88 nt
Filed under: Shimia sp. SK013
Lineage: Bacteria; Pseudomonadati; Pseudomonadota; Alphaproteobacteria; Rhodobacterales; Roseobacteraceae
Also listed under: 1 other name
Description: Glycine riboswitch aptamer
Rfam family: Glycine riboswitch aptamer
About the family: This family represents the bacterial glycine riboswitch. Glycine riboswitches usually consist of two metabolite-binding aptamers domains with similar structures in tandem.
Source: Rfam by way of RNAcentral
ACAAGUGAAUCGGGAGAACCGGACGUGUCCGGUGCCGAAGGAGCAACCGCCCCGGAAACUCUCAGGCCGCAGGGACCGAUUUACCGCU